UACGUAGGUGGCGAGCGUUAUCCGGAAUGAUUGGGCGUAAAGGGUGCGUAGGCGGCCUGCUAAGUCUGGAGUGAAAGGUACCGGCUCAACCGGUACAGGCUCUGGAAACUGGCGGGCUAGAGAGCAGGAGAGGGCGGUGGAACUCCAUGUGUAGCGGUAAAAUGCGUAGAUAUAUGGAAGAACACCAGUGGCGAAGGCGACCUGCUAGAACAUAACUGACGCUGAUGCGCGAAAGCGUGGGGAGCAAACAGG
Molecule: ribosomal RNA, 252 nt
Filed under: uncultured Allobaculum sp.
Lineage: Bacteria; Bacillati; Bacillota; Erysipelotrichia; Erysipelotrichales; Erysipelotrichaceae
Description: partial 16S ribosomal RNA
Rfam family: Bacterial small subunit ribosomal RNA
Source: RNAcentral